Aedes aegypti (yellow fever mosquito) is the source of this 45-nucleotide non-coding RNA. The record is from Rfam. NCBI's taxonomy places the organism in Eukaryota, Metazoa, Arthropoda, Insecta, Diptera, Culicidae.
AAAACGGCCCUUUUCAGGGCCACAACAAUGCGUUAUACGUAAAAG